UCCACGCCCUAAACGAUGUACACUAGUUGUUGCUAUGCUAGUCAUAGCAGUAAUGCAGCUAACGCAUUAAGUGUACCGCCUGGGGAGUACGGUCGCAAGAUUAAAACUCAAAGGAAUAGACGGGGACCCGCACAAGCGGUGGAGCAUGUGGUUUAAUUCGACGAUACGCGAAGAACCUUACCUGGACUUGACAUCCUAUAAAUGAUUUAGAGAUAGAUUAGUGCUAGUUUACU
RNAcentral lists this ribosomal RNA (233 nucleotides) under uncultured bacterium. RNAcentral describes it as "partial 16S ribosomal RNA". It matches the Rfam family "Bacterial small subunit ribosomal RNA", at positions 794 to 1024 of the family's 1533-position model. The record is from RNAcentral.